RNAcentral lists this ribosomal RNA (467 nucleotides) under uncultured bacterium. RNAcentral describes it as "bacterial SSU rRNA". It matches the Rfam family "Bacterial small subunit ribosomal RNA", at positions 28 to 509 of the family's 1533-position model. The record is from RNAcentral.
GACGAACGCUGGCGGCGUGCUUAACACAUGCAAGUCGAGCGGUAAGGCCCUUUCGGGGGUACACGAGCGGCGAACGGGUGAGUAACACGUGGGUGACCUGCCCUCAGCUCUGGGAUAAGCCUGGGAAACGUGGGUCUAAUACUGGAUAUGACUCCACGGUGCAUGUCGUGGGGUGGAAAGCCUUGUGCGGCUGAGGAUGGGCCCGCGGCCUAUCAGCUUGUUGGUGGGGUGANGGCCUACCAAGGCGACGACGGGUAGCCGGCCUGAGAGGCGACCGGCCACACUGGGACUGAGACACGGCCCAGACUCCUACGGGAGGCAGCAGUGGGGAAUCUUGCGCAAUGGGCGAAAGCCUGACGCAGCGACGCCGCGUGAGGGAUGACGGCCGUCGGGUUGUAAACCUCUUUCAGCUCCGACGAAGCGGAAGUGACGGUAGGAGCAGAAGAAGCACCGGCCAACUACGUGCC